Molecule: non-coding RNA, 89 nt
Organism: Mycena vulgaris
Lineage: Eukaryota; Fungi; Basidiomycota; Agaricomycetes; Agaricales; Mycenaceae
Source: the annotation of a GenBank genome assembly
AGCGGCAUGGUGUAUGGUGCACGCGGGUUCUGGUUGCAUAGCAUUGCAGUAUUGGUCUCGAGGUCCUCGUUCGAUUCGGGGUGCUGCUA